Xenia sp. Carnegie-2017 is the source of this 623-nucleotide long non-coding RNA. RefSeq lists it as uncharacterized. The transcript is spliced from 2 exons. NCBI's taxonomy places the organism in Eukaryota, Metazoa, Cnidaria, Anthozoa, Malacalcyonacea, Xeniidae. The record is from RefSeq and is a predicted model, not a curated record.
UUGAAAAUGAACUGAAAUUUUUUUUUCUUUGCUUUUCUCUCAUUAUGGUAAAACAAACGUUAUCCUCUCUGUGGCAUUUCGUUAUUUGUGUCUUAAUUUACGACCACAAUGGCUGACAAUGUUUGCUGGCGUUUUGGGGAGUAGUUUAGUUAUUUGCAUUUAACCUGGAAAUGUUAACGUGAAAGAACCAGAACCGAACAAAGAAAAAGUUGAACCAAUACAUUCUGUGCUUGACCUUACAAGCCAAAGGUUGUCACAGAUAUGGAUGAAGCAGACUUUGCAAAGGAACUGGAAAAACUUGAACGUCAAAAUGGAGAAGUUGAUGGUGAUGAUGAUAAUUCUGAUGACGAAGAAGAACAAGAUGAAGCAUAAAUAAUUGUGGUUUGUUUUAAAACAUUUUCAGAGAGAAUGAUAGAUUGGCUGACAAGUGCUAAUUUAAUAACAAAGAAGUUAAACUUUAACCUCUAUUCAAACACCAUUCGGACACCAAUUUUUUCUUGUGACUAUUCAAAAUAAUAUUUCACGCCCAUGUUCAAUGUGUUGUGUGAAAAUUUUCGUAGGUUUGCUUAGGUUAAAAUGAAGUCUAUAAGAGAAAUUAAAAUUGACAGUAGUUUGAACCUCUA